CAGGAUGAACGCUAGCGACAGGCCUAACACAUGCAAGUCAGGGGCAGCACAAGGAGCAAUCUGAGGUGGCGACCGGCGCACGGGUGAGUAACACGUAUGCAACCUGCCUGUAAGCGGGGAAUAACCCGUUGAAAGACGGACUAAUACCGCAUAAUACUAAAUUACUGCAUGGUAAUUUAUUUAAACAUUUAUGGCUUACAGAUGGGCAUGCGCAUGAUUAGCUAGUUGGAGAGGUAACGGCUCCCCAAGGCAACGAUCAUUAGGGGUUCUGAGAGGAAGGUCCCCCACACUGGUACUGAGACACGGACCAGACUCCUACGGGAGGCAGCAGUGAGGAAUAUUGGUCAAUGGACGAGAGUCUGAACCAGCCAAGUCGCGUGCAGGAAGAAUGUCCCUAUGGAUUGUAAACUGCUUUUGCAGGGGAAUAAAGUGCAUCACGUGUGAUGUUUUGUAUGUACUCUGCGAAUAAGGAUCGGCUAACUCCGUGCCAGCCGCUGC
This 498-nucleotide ribosomal RNA is filed under the name uncultured bacterium. RNAcentral's name for it is "bacterial SSU rRNA". It matches the Rfam family "Bacterial small subunit ribosomal RNA", at positions 25 to 518 of the family's 1533-position model. The record is from RNAcentral.